Molecule: long non-coding RNA, 587 nt
Organism: Ochlerotatus camptorhynchus
Lineage: Eukaryota; Metazoa; Arthropoda; Insecta; Diptera; Culicidae
Exons: 3
Source: RefSeq, a predicted model, not a curated record
CCACUUUUGGGAGCUUGUUCGAGCUGUCAUAGAGUGGUUUAAAUGUAUAGCAAAAAAGUGUAUACAAUUUAGACAUUUCCAGAGAAAACCAUUUUUCAACAGAAGUGUUUAAAUUUUAUUCACUAUUGGCUGAAAAAAAACUUGACAACAAUCAUUUUUAGAAAACGCGGCAGCCAUCAUUGAUCAACUUUUUCGCAGAGUUCGGUGAGAACUACCAGAAGACGUGGGAAUCAGGAAUUGCUACUUCCUUCGCAAUCGAGUGGCGGACCGAAAAUGAAGUUUUUUUUUCCGAAAAGCAAUCACUAAAAUGACCUUUCCCAACAUGAUUUCCGGUUCAUUACAGUCUUUCCCAAGCACAGGCUGAAAUGGUUUUACAACAUCAUCGGCAUGGCAAGGUAUCAUCGCGGAUGGACCACUGGCGGAGCACCGACCGAUACAAUCAACAAGACUUCGUCUACACCCGCCGCGGGUUUGGCUGACUGCGGGAUCAUCUGUGAUACAGAGCAUGAUCCAUUUCAUCGAUAUACUGCAGAACGUCGUGGCGCAAAUAGUUCCGGCCAAUGGAAAUCAUGUGUGGCCCACGAUCA